This 460-nucleotide ribosomal RNA is filed under the name uncultured bacterium. RNAcentral describes it as "partial 16S ribosomal RNA". It matches the Rfam family "Bacterial small subunit ribosomal RNA", at positions 338 to 795 of the family's 1533-position model. The record is from RNAcentral.
CCUACGGGGGGCUGCAGUGAGGAAUAUUGGUCAAUGGACGAGAGUCUGAACCAGCCAAGUAGCGUGCAGGAUGACUGCCCUAUGGGUUGUAAACUUCUUUUAUACGGGAAUAAAAUGCUUCACGUGUGGUGUUUUGUAUGUACCAUAUGAAUAAGGACCGGCUAACUCCGUGCCAGCAGCCGCGGUAAUACGGAGGAUCCGAGCGUUAUCCGGAUUUAUUGGGUUUAAAGGGAGCGUAGGUGGCUUGUUAAGUCAGUUGUGAAAUUUCGCGGCUCAACCGUAGAAUUGCGGUUGGAACUGGCAGUCUUGAGUGCGGUAGAGGUGGGCGGAAUUCGUGGUGUAGCGGUGAAAUGCGUAGAUAUUAGGAAGAACUCCGGUGGCGAAGGCAGCUUUCGGGAGUGAAACUGACGCUGAGGCACGAAGGCGUGGGGAGCGAACAGGAUUAGAUACCCGUGUAGUC